This is a non-coding RNA of Candidatus Omnitrophica bacterium 4484_70.2, 30 nucleotides long. The record is from Rfam. Lineage: Bacteria; Pseudomonadati; Candidatus Omnitrophota.
GUUUCAAUCCCUCAUAGGUAUUCUACAAAC